CCUACGAGAGGCAGCAGUGAGGAAUAUUGGUCAAUGGACGAGAGUCUGAACCAGCCAAGUAGCGUGAAGGAUGACUGCCCUAUGGGUUGUAAACUUCUUUUAUAUGGGAAUAAAAUGUUCCACGUGUGGGAUUUUGUAUGUACCAUAUGAAUAAGGAUCGGCUAACUCCGUGCCAGCAGCCGCGGUAAUACGGAGGAGCCGAGCGUUAUCCGGAUUUGUUGGGUUGAAAGGGAGAGGAGGUGGAUUGUUAAUGCAGUUGUUAAAGUUUGAGGCUCAACCGUAAAAUUGCAGUUGAAACUGGCAGUCUUGAGUACAGUAGAGGUGGGCGGAAUUCGUGGUGUAGCGGUGAAAUGCUUAGAUAUCACGAAGAACUCCGAUUGCGAAGGCAGUUCACUGGACUGCAACUGACACUGAGGCUCGAAAGUGUGGGUAUCAAACAGGAUUAGAUACCCCUGUAGUC
RNAcentral lists this ribosomal RNA (460 nucleotides) under uncultured bacterium. RNAcentral's name for it is "partial 16S ribosomal RNA". It matches the Rfam family "Bacterial small subunit ribosomal RNA", at positions 338 to 795 of the family's 1533-position model. The record is from RNAcentral.